UCAACUUUGUACUGUUAUAUUUUUGUUUUGAGUUUAGUUAAAUAUCAGGCCAAUUUUUUUCAGUUGGCCUUUGAUUGCUUAUAAUUUCAUCUAGGGCUUUGUUUGCUGUUUCUUUUUUUUUUUUUUUUGUAAUUUUUUCGUAAAAAAAUCAAUGGCUGUAUAUUACAAGUUUAAGAGUGCAAGAGACUACGAUUCAAUCCCAAUGGACGGUCCAUUUAUUUCGGUCGGUACUUUGAAAGAAAAAAUUUUUGAAUCAAAGCACUUGGGCAGGGGCACCGACUUCGACCUUGUGGUCACUAACGCCCAAACUAAUGAAGAAUAUCUUGAUGAAGCAAUGUUAAUCCCAAAAAAUACCUCUGUGUUAAUUCGUCGGGUUCCAGGAAGACCUCGCAUGCCUAUUGUUACUGAGCAAGAGCCAAAGAUGGAAAAUAAGGUGGAGGAUACCUCACUAGAGAAGAGUACUUUUAUGGCCGCCGAUUUAUCUGCCAUGAAAGAUACUGAAGACACAGAAUGGGAUGAGUUUGGAAAUGACUUAUAUGCAAUUCCUGAAGCACCACUAGUUCAGUCUAGCAAUGCGGUUCCUGAUGCGCCCCCUACAAAUAAGGCUGA
Molecule: unclassified non-coding RNA, 609 nt
Filed under: Hevea brasiliensis (rubber tree)
Lineage: Eukaryota; Viridiplantae; Streptophyta; Magnoliopsida; Malpighiales; Euphorbiaceae
Source: RNAcentral